Molecule: ribosomal RNA, 83 nt
Filed under: Epichloe hybrida
Lineage: Eukaryota; Fungi; Ascomycota; Sordariomycetes; Hypocreales; Clavicipitaceae
Source: RNAcentral
CUACCAGAACAUACGGGAUCCCGUCCGCUCUCCCAUAGUCAAGCUGGUAAGGGGCAGAUUAGUAGUUGGGUCGGUGACGACCA